This 705-nucleotide long non-coding RNA is filed under the name Vulpes vulpes (red fox). RNAcentral's name for it is "lncRNA (ENSVVUG00000008218.1)". Lineage: Eukaryota; Metazoa; Chordata; Mammalia; Carnivora; Canidae. The record is from RNAcentral.
AUAGUUCUCAUAGUUCUAACCAUUAAUUUCCAGCCCUGCUCUCAUCCAUAAUGCUUGCUUUUUGCUUCCAUCAGAUGCUUCGAGGACAAAUCAGACCUGAGGAUUCUGAACAGGCUCCAUGGAAAAGUCCCUGUUCCAGAGGCCUAGCUGUCACAAUCCUGAUUUCUAUACCUCUUCAGGUGGAGUGCCCACACUGCAGUCUCCAGACGCAGCAGAUUUCCUUGCUCAGCUGCUUCAUUUCACCUCAGGCAAACUCUGCUCUCCAGCCCAGCAUUUCUACUGCUCAGUCAGGCUGCCCUCCCCUUUGAAAAUUAUACAAGGUCUUGGACAGCCCAAUCCUUGUGCCUCAGCUUUAAGAGGUCCAGUCGGCACCCCCCGGCCUUCCACUGCCUUUUCAUUCUCAGGUGGCUCUCCCAGGUCCACAGGUAAGUGCAUACCUCCAAAACAUUUCUACUUUGCCUUCCAUUAGGAGGCACAACCAUUUCCCUAGAGUAUUACACACAAUUAUAAAUCUCUUUCCAAGCCCCUCUCAUCCCUACUUCCCUGCACAAUAUCCACUGCAGGGAAUUGGGAGGGUGUAAACUGACCCGGAGACAAUUUUAGUUGUAGUAAGCAGUUCUUAGAGGCUGCCUGGAAAGGGCUGGGAGCUCAAAAAUAGCAAAAUAGAAAACCAGAAAGCCUUUAUAUCACUACGAUUGGGACCCC